UGUUCAUGAUUUUGUGCUAAUUAUGCUCUGUUCUUUGGAUCCUUGUUUGUUUGUGUAUUUUCAUAUUUUAAGUUCAGAAACCAGAAAAGAGAGGAAUCACUCCAGCACAGUAGAUGGCGCUGUGAGUCUAGAACCUUCCUCAGAUUGACACCCGCCAGAAACACAUAAAAGAAGAAGAAAGAGCAACAUGACAGAAGAAUGGAUUACGUAUCAGAGUUGUUUGCGCUCGGACAGAGGACAGGACAGAGGGUUUCAUUUGUAAAUGAAGCUCGAGAAGGACCGGAGCACAAACCAAGAGAAGAACCCAGUCCAACACGAGUCUUUACUGACAAUAGUGACGCCAGCCGAAUGUGGAAAGGGUUAAAUAUGGAGGAGUGUGUGAAGCACAUCUUUCUCUCGGUCAGAUUCUCUGUAUGUGGCAGAUGUGGGGAUGAAGUCCUCUGAGGUCAGCAGCCGGGCGUCUCUGGAGAGAAGGGAGACUCUGGAGAACAGAUCUCCCUCCUGAGUGCUUUUAAUCAAUGGAUUUUUACUGUUUUAAUGUCACCCCC
This is a long non-coding RNA of Onychostoma macrolepis, 548 nucleotides long. RefSeq lists it as uncharacterized. The record is from RefSeq and is a predicted model, not a curated record. NCBI's taxonomy places the organism in Eukaryota, Metazoa, Chordata, Actinopteri, Cypriniformes, Cyprinidae. The transcript has 3 exons.